AACGAACGCUGGCGGCAUGCCUAACACAUGCAAGUCGAACGAGACCUUCGGGUCUAGUGGCGCACGGGUGCGUAACGCGUGGGAACCUGCCCUUAGGUUCGGAAUAACUCCCCGAAAGGGGUGCUAAUACCGGAUAAUGUCUUCGGACCAAAGAUUUAUCGCCUUUGGAUGGGCCCGCGUUGGAUUAGCUAGUUGGUAGGGUAAAAGCCUACCAAGGCGGCGAUCCAUAGCUGGUCUGAGAGGAUGAUCAGCCACACUGGGACUGAGACACGGCCCAGACUCCUACGGGAGGCAGCAGUGGGGAAUAUUGGACAAUGGGCGAAUGCCUGAUCCAGCAAUGCCGCGUGAGUGAUGAAGGCCUUAGGGUUGUAAAGCUCUUUUACCCGGGAUGAUAAUGACAGUACCGGGAGAAUAAGCUCCGGCUAACUCCGUG
Molecule: ribosomal RNA, 433 nt
Filed under: uncultured bacterium
Lineage: Bacteria
Description: partial 16S ribosomal RNA
Rfam family: Bacterial small subunit ribosomal RNA
Source: RNAcentral